UACGUAGGGGGCAAGCGUUGUCCGGAUUUACUGGGCGUAAAGAGCGUGUAGGCGGCCACGCAGGUCCGUUGUGAAAACUGGAGGCUCAACCUUCAGACGUCGACGGAAACCGUGUGGCUAGAGUCCGGAAGAGGAGAGUGGAAUUCCUGGUGUAGCGGGGAAAUGCGCAGAUAUCAGGAAGAACACCAAUGGCGAAGGCAGCUCUCUGGGACGGUACUGACGCUGAGACGCGAAAGCGUGGGGAGCGAACAGG
Molecule: ribosomal RNA, 253 nt
Filed under: uncultured bacterium
Lineage: Bacteria
Description: partial 16S ribosomal RNA
Rfam family: Bacterial small subunit ribosomal RNA
Source: RNAcentral